UAAUACGAAGGGGGCUAGCGUUGUUCGGAAUCACUGGGCGUAAAGCGCACGUAGGCGGACUCUUAAGUCAGGGGUGAAAGCCUGAGGCUCAACCUCAGAACUGCCCUUGAUACUGGGAGUCUUGAGUAUGGUAGAGGUUGGUGGAACAGCAAGUGUAGAGGUGAAAUUCGUAGAUAUUUGCUAGAACACCAGUGGCGAAGGCGGCCAACUGGACCAUAACUGACGCUGAGGUGCGAAAGCGUGGGGAGCAAACAGG
RNAcentral lists this ribosomal RNA (256 nucleotides) under uncultured bacterium. Its description in RNAcentral is "partial 16S ribosomal RNA". It matches the Rfam family "Bacterial small subunit ribosomal RNA", at positions 521 to 776 of the family's 1533-position model. The record is from RNAcentral.